CACCACGAAGCACCGCGACAAGGCCCCCGACGUGGUCGUCACCUCUUGAGCUCGCUACCUCGGCUCGUCCUCCUCUCGUCUUUCCACAAAAUCGGCGCCGCUUCUCGCCGGACGUGGUUCCUCUCUAGUCCUCGCACUGUAGAAGAGAUCUUUAAGGGCUACAGCGCCCGACGCACUGCCGUCGUCCGCGCCCUCACCUACGAUGUGGAUGAAUUCUACUCGCUCUGCGAUCCAGGUGAGGCUCCAUGUACUUUGGGUUUCUUGUUCGUUGUUGUUUUUCCUUCGAAUUAAAGGGCAAAUGCAAGAUUGUGCCUUUUAGAGAAAAAGGUUUUGACUUUAGCUUGUGCUGCAAUUUUGGAGAAGUGGGAUGAGGUAUGUGGGAAAUGGGUAACUGCUGAUAGGUGAUUUUUCUAUGAAACUGUGGUCAAUUUGAUUGGGGAAGUGGCUGUGGUGGGUUGAUAAGAAACGGGCUAAGUGUGCUUUAGGUUAUUGUUGGUUCUUUUUAUUCAUGAUCUGAAAGGAAAUUCUUUAUUUUUUGCUUUGAUAUCUUAAUGGGUAUUUCAGUUGUGAUUACAGACUCCAAAUGUUAAAGCUCCUUUUCUAGAGAUGGAAUGAAAUGCACGAACUGGCUGUCUUUGGUGGCUGUGCAUAAUGACUGUUGGUUGCUCUCUGUGGCCUUCUACUUUGGUGCUCGACUUAACCGCAAUGAGAGGUACUUUCUUUUUGCUUGCACUUGCUGAAGAUUGUCAUUGCAUAUGCGGCAUACUCAAAGGAUCUGUUGAGGUCAGUAUUGUGAUUCUGGGUGCCUUACGUCCCAACUCAGCUAGGCAGCCAGUUAAUCAAGCAAUUAAGAGAUGCCAACAUAAAUUUAAUGGUGCUAGCUUAUUCUAGUAAAAAAGCCAUUCUGCAAUCUUUCACCAAGUUUGGAUUUUGAAUUAGGUACAACAACUUGAAGCCAUUGGGUUUGGGCAGAAAUAAAAUUGAGCAGAUAUGAAACAAUUUGUUUGGGCUGAUUAUGUGAAGUGUAUUAUUUAGUAUUUUGCAUCUAAAUUCCUGUAUUUAUUGUCAAAAGAAUGACUGGUUCCUUCAAUCAUCAUCUCUUCACUUUGUUAGUCUUUAUUGCUGAGAGAUCCAUAAAGAAAAAGGUCCAGUAAUGAAACUAUUUUCACUGUCCCGGAAAAUGGCCUUAGUUCCCACAUCUAGAAAGUUAAAUAAUUAUUUGUGUAUUGAAACAUAUUGAAUAAUAAAUAUCCAUGUGUGGCUUGAAUAGAUCAACUCUAAUACGACACGGUGUCAUGCAGAGAUUGCCACAAUGUUAAGUACUACCUAGGGUGACUAGAGAAGUUGAGCUGCUUUUUAAAAAAAGAUGCUUUAUAUCUUGUUCUUUGUGUGAACUGUCAUACAUGUUUCUUGGUGAUGUGGAAGGUGAGGCUGUAGAUGCUUCUUUUCCCCUUUGAGGACUUUGUCGUCUCAUUUUCUUGUGUAUGGUUAUAUUAUGGUGAUAGCCUCUUCAGGACUCUCUAAGUUAUGGGUUCACAGUAAAGGGAUUGGGAUUACAAGGUAUGAAAUACCUGGAUGUCCUUUUAUAAUAUAUCUAUGUAUCUUUAGUACCUUGGUCUCCCCUGGUUAUGUUGGAGAGUGUGGUUUUGGUUUUGAGGAAGUAACUUAAACAUGUCAAGAACCUAUAGUAGCAGAUUGAACCUAAGCUAUUCUACAUUGUUUUGGCAUGAUACUUAGUAUUCUUGUUUGAAAUAAUAGGAGGAAGGAUGUUGUAUCUUUCUUGGGUAAGUUGGCCAAUGAAGAGAUGGUCAAUGCAAUGCAUGUUCUGCUUUUGUAUCUACGAAGUGCUCCAGAUGAUGAAAAACCUUUGGUUGCCAUACUUAUGCUGCACUUUGAUCUAAUAGUAUACUUUCUUGACUAUUCAUUUUGUAGUUUUUGGGAUUUUAUUGGAUUUUGAAUUUGAUAUUUGUAACUUCUCUUCUUGCCCAUUUUUUAGUUGCAUCCGUAAGAUAUGCCUCGGUGAGUAUGACGAAAUUUUAUGGUGAUUAACUUGGUAUUGGAAUUUGAAGAUGCAGUGUGAAUUUGCAAAUUUAAUGAAGCCUACUCUUAUUUUUUGGUUAUCUAUUCCAGAAAAUUAUGGCUAAGAUAACACUUUGGUGCAGGUAGAACCUCGGAAGUACAGCAUAUGCAGAGAGAGGCUGACGCGGCAAUUUCUGCAUAAGUUAUGCAAAUGAGAGGUUGCAACGACAUUUCAAUUGGCAUUUGUUAAAACUGGAGCAGGAAGUGAGCAUCACACAUGGACCGUAUCUUUAGUAGUUUUGUUUAGUAUUUAUAUGAUGGGGAUUGUCGCUAAAAGUAGGAUAGUUUUUUUUUAUUCAUUUUUGUCGUCAUUAUUUAUUGUGCAAGAUUAUUUAUUCUCAUUAUGUGUACUAUAAAGAAAAAUAUUUAUGUCAUUCUUGUGGAAAACGUUGAUGAAUGUAUUUCAUUUUCAUAUUA
This is a long non-coding RNA of Syzygium oleosum, 2496 nucleotides long. RefSeq lists it as uncharacterized. Lineage: Eukaryota; Viridiplantae; Streptophyta; Magnoliopsida; Myrtales; Myrtaceae. The record is from RefSeq and is a predicted model, not a curated record. The transcript is spliced from 2 exons.